Molecule: small nuclear RNA, 160 nt
Organism: Xiphias gladius (swordfish)
Lineage: Eukaryota; Metazoa; Chordata; Actinopteri; Istiophoriformes; Xiphiidae
Product: U1 spliceosomal RNA
Exons: 1
Source: RefSeq, a predicted model, not a curated record
AUACUUACCUGGCAGGAGAUACCAUGAUCAAGAAGGUGGUUCACUCCAGGGCCAGGCUCAGCCAUUGCACCGUUGUGUUGACUUCAUGCACUUCUAAAUGUGGGAAUCUCGAUCGCACACAAUUUCCUCUGAUAGUGGGGACUGCGCUCGCUUCUCCCCU